RNAcentral lists this ribosomal RNA (909 nucleotides) under Triticum aestivum (bread wheat). RNAcentral describes it as "partial small subunit ribosomal RNA". Lineage: Eukaryota; Viridiplantae; Streptophyta; Magnoliopsida; Poales; Poaceae. The record is from RNAcentral.
AUGUCUUCGAGCAUGACUGCCGAGAGGGAUGAAGAGAACACUAGGAUCGUUACCAACUUGAUGGUCAUGCAAGUGCGGGAUGGAAAUAGGCCAAACAAAAUCUUGACCCCUAGUGCAUUCGACGAAGUGGCAUUGCAAUUCAAAGUGAGAACCGGAUUGGACUACACGAGCCACCAAAUUAAAAACAAAUGGGACAAGUUGAAUGCAGAAUAUGCUUUAUUCAAGAAGCUCAAGCUAAAGGAGACCGGAGGGGGAUGGGACUUUGUUCUCAACACUGUCAAACAAGAUAAGGAGUGGUGGAAGAAAGCAAAAACUGACCUUCUAGGUUGCGGCAAGUUCCAAAAGCGUGGACUACGCAAUGAAGAAAACUUGAGCAUUAUGUUUGAGGACAUCACCAGUGAUGGCACAGAUCAUUGGAAUCCUUCAACAGGCAUAUCCCCCUCCUCUAGUGCAUCAAUACCAGAUACCAUUGAUAUUGAAGCGAUCACAGAUGUUGAUUUUUUAGAAGAUCCCCAAGUGCCACCUUCUCCUGCUAUGCCACCUUCUCCUACUAUGCCACCUUCUCCUUUCAUGUCAUCAACGAACAAGAGGCUUGGAAAAACCAUUGAUGACAAGCACAAGAGACCUAGGACUGCACAAGUGAUGCAGGAUGAGAUUACACAAAUUAAAAACAUUGCUAAGGAGUCCCAAGAAACCGUUCGAUCAUUCAUAAAGAAUGAUGAUGCCACUUUUGUUGCCACUACCAUGAAUGAAGUGCUUGCUUGUGGUAUUUUAGAGGGAAGUGAUGAACACUACAUUGCUACUGAGUUGUUCAUCAAAAGAGAGCAAAGAGAGAUGUUUCUACACAUGGGUGCUGGCUCACGUAAAGAUUGGCUUCGUAGGAAGUUUGCGAUGACGUAUGGGAAAUAG